AGACUUAGGUUAACNAAACCAAGGGCCUUCAAAGCCCCAGAUAGGGCCUUAGCCCUAGCCUCUG
Molecule: transfer RNA, 64 nt
Filed under: Lygodactylus klugei
Lineage: Eukaryota; Metazoa; Chordata; Lepidosauria; Squamata; Gekkonidae
Description: tRNA-Trp
Source: RNAcentral